GCAUUGGAGGUUCAGUGGUAGAAUUCUUGGCCUUCACGCUGGAGACCCAGGGUUCAAUUCCCAGCCAGUGCA
RNAcentral lists this transfer RNA (72 nucleotides) under Loxodonta africana (African savanna elephant). It matches the Rfam family "tRNA". Rfam says of the family: Transfer RNA (tRNA) molecules are approximately 80 nucleotides in length. Their secondary structure includes four short double-helical elements and three loops (D, anti-codon, and T loops). The record is from Rfam by way of RNAcentral. Lineage: Eukaryota; Metazoa; Chordata; Mammalia; Proboscidea; Elephantidae.